RNAcentral lists this ribosomal RNA (477 nucleotides) under uncultured Glomus. Its description in RNAcentral is "SSU rRNA". It matches the Rfam family "Eukaryotic small subunit ribosomal RNA", at positions 569 to 1054 of the family's 1831-position model. The record is from RNAcentral. Lineage: Eukaryota; Fungi; Glomeromycota; Glomeromycetes; Glomerales; Glomeraceae.
AGCAGCCGCGGUAAUUCCAGCUCCAAUAGCGUAUAUUAAAGUUGUUGCAGUUAAAAGCUCGUAGUUGAAUUUCGGGAUCAGCAGGUUGGUCGUGCCUACGGUAUGAACUGGCCUUGCUGAUUCCUCCCUCUUGAUGAGCCGUAAUGCCAUUGAUUUGGUGUUGCGGGGAAUCAGGACUGUUACUUUGAAAAAUUAGAGUGUUAAAGCAGGCAAGCGCUUGAAUACAUUAGCAUGGAAUAAUGAAAUAGGACGUUUGAUCCUAUUUUGUUGGUUUCUAGGAUUGACGUAAUGAUUAAUAGGGAUAGUUGGGGGCAUUAGUAUUCAAUUGUCAGAGGUGAAAUUCUUGGAUUUAUUGAAGACUAACUACUGCGAAAGCAUUUGCCAGGAUGUUUUCAUUAAUCAAGAACGAAAGUUAGGGGAUCGAAGACGAUCAGAUACCGUCGUAGUCUUAACCAUAAACUAUGCCGACUAGGGAUC